Molecule: ribosomal RNA, 476 nt
Filed under: uncultured bacterium
Lineage: Bacteria
Description: bacterial SSU rRNA
Rfam family: Bacterial small subunit ribosomal RNA
Source: RNAcentral
GGCUCAGGACGAACGCUGGCGGCAUGCUUCAUACAUGCAAGUCGAACGAUAAGGUCUCUUCGGAGAUACAUAAGUGGCGGACGGGUGAGUAAUAUGUAGGAAAUCUGCCCUUGAGAGGGGGACAACAGAGGGAAACUUCUGCUAAUACCCCAUAUGAGCGUACCUGAAAUGGUAUUCUUGAAAACUCCGGUGCUCAAGGAUGAGCCUGCAUCUGAUUAGCUUGUUGGCGGUGUAAUGGACCACCAAGGCGACGAUCAGUAGCUGGUUUGAGAGGAUGAUCAGCCACAAUGGGACUGAGACACGGCCCAUACUCCUACGGGAGGCAGCAGUAGGGAAUUUUGCGCAAUGGGCGAAAGCCUGACGCAGCAAUGCCGCGUGAACGUAGAAGCCCUUCGGGGUGUAAAGUUCUGUCAGUGGGGACGAAUUUUGACGGUACCCACAGAGGAAGCACCGGCUAACUCCGUGCCAGCCGCCGC